Molecule: non-coding RNA, 470 nt
Organism: Ceratotherium simum simum (southern white rhinoceros)
Lineage: Eukaryota; Metazoa; Chordata; Mammalia; Perissodactyla; Rhinocerotidae
Source: RefSeq, a predicted model, not a curated record
UGCCCGUGUUCUCGCAGUGUGCUGAGCAGAGAAGUAAGUGCACCACGUUAAUAGAUGUACUCUAUAAAACAAACACAUCAAACAAACAGACAGAAGUCCAUAAGUAGAAUUCUGUGGACAUGCGUGGUUAAACCAGGUCAACCAGGUGGGUUUCCUGUAAGACUGCUCCGAACGUUCACCACGCUGCUGCACAGCGGGAACUCCAAAAUGGAAAUGUGGGCAUGCAACGUUUCCCGCACAUUUGACCUCAAAACCUUUUUUUUCUCUCAGUGUUCGUUUAAGUGUUUUCCGUAUAUACUAUUAGCAACACUCUUUGGAAAGUGAUUUCCUACACAAAUCUAGGUUCUUACUAUCAUUGCCUCCAAGCUAAAAAGCCUGGCUCCUUCAGCUACUCAUUUUGAGACAAAGUGUUUAGUUUUCUCAUUAUCUUCCCUCACUCUUGUUCUCUAGUAGGGCUAUCAGAUUAAAAU